Molecule: ribosomal RNA, 253 nt
Filed under: uncultured bacterium
Lineage: Bacteria
Description: partial 16S ribosomal RNA
Rfam family: Bacterial small subunit ribosomal RNA
Source: RNAcentral
UACGGGGGUUGCAAGCGUUAUUCGAAAUUAUUGGGCGUAAAGCGCGCGUAGGUUGUGAGGUAAGUCCUGUGUGAAAGCUCCGAGCUUAACUCGGAAAAGUCAUGGGAUACUACCUUGCUUGAGGAUGAGAGAGGAUAGCGGAAUUCCCAGUGUAGUGGUGAAAUACGUAGAUAUUGGGAGGAACACCGGAGGCGAAAGCGGCUAUCUGGCUCAUUUCUGACGCUGAGGUGCGAAAGCGUGGGUAGCAAACAGG